RNAcentral lists this long non-coding RNA (455 nucleotides) under Mytilus galloprovincialis (Mediterranean mussel). Lineage: Eukaryota; Metazoa; Mollusca; Bivalvia; Mytilida; Mytilidae. The record is from RNAcentral.
GUGCAUGUUUUGGAUUUAAUUGAUCCGGUGUAACUUUAAAACACAUUUAUUGAUUAUUUUCUGAUAAUGUACAUUUUUCAGCACCUGUUUGUAACACAGAUUAGUAUUUCAAACUCGGAGCGGACAUUUUAUUGUAGGUUUUUACUGAGAUUUACGGACCUAGCAAGCUAUUUUUACGGCAUUGCCAUUUCUUUUCUCUAGGAAAAGCUUUGAGAGAUAUCUGCACCAAGUUUUUUUAUAAACGUUUAGUACAUGUAUGCCCUGCUGACUGCAAAUUUUGAGGUCGAUUGUACUUGUAGUUUCAGAGAACAUGUGGAUUUUUUUUCAGAAGUGACGUAAGAACAAUAUUAAAUUUCAAUUUUUCUUGAAUAAUUGAGAGUUUGUUCCUUCAAUAAACUGUCAUGAUUAAACAGUCAUACAGAUUGAUUGAUUGAUUGAUUGAUUGAUUGAUUGAU